Long non-coding RNA from Lytechinus pictus (painted urchin), 1284 nucleotides. RefSeq lists it as uncharacterized. The record is from RefSeq and is a predicted model, not a curated record. Lineage: Eukaryota; Metazoa; Echinodermata; Echinoidea; Temnopleuroida; Toxopneustidae. The transcript is spliced from 5 exons.
ACUCCAGGGUACCUGGAAAUCUAGGAUGGCGUCCAAAAUGGCUGCCAAAGCCUAAAAAUCCACACUUCAUCUAUUACUUUAGUGUCUUUUAUUUUUUUUUAUCUAUUCAAUGGUUUUACGGGUCAAGUAAUACAUUGUAGCAAGUUACAAGGACGUCAGCGGUCAACAGACCUUAGUGCCUCUUAUUCUUGCUGGUACUUUAUUUCUUCAUUCAUUCAUUUACUCGGUCAUCCAUUUACUUCUUUUAUGCUCUUCACACGGUGCAGCUUCUACAGCUUCGACAAGUUUCCGUUUCUCUUGACUUACAGCCGGAAUUGGUAUGAGGAACACAAUUAUUUUCACCUUGCUGACUACAGUAAUGCUGUUUGGCAUGCUGGAAUAUACAGAAGCCAAAGGAUUUAAAAGGGCUGCUCCUUCUGGAAUUUAUGAUGGUCCUCCUGGCAUUAAUGGUGCUCCUUCCAGUGGUGGAAUCAGUAAAAAUAUCAAUGCUGAAAUAAUGAAGAAGCCUCCCCGUGGAAGGCGAUAGUCGUGCUGAAUACCUCACUACCAACGCAAACCUACGUCCACAUGUAUGUGGAGGUGCCGUGGACUGAUAGACACCUAGGAGAUGAAAUUCAGCGUUGACAAUGUAAAUUACAAUUUAUACUGAUCGAGAUCAUCACAGCCCCGACAUGGGAAUGACUAUUUGCUAAUUUUUUUUUUUUUUUUUUUGGGGGGGUGAUACUGAAAAUAAAAUUUUACAUAAUUUCUUCAGAAAAUGUGUUUAUUAUUACCGUAUCUUGUUACCUUCUCUUGAAACUAAUCCAAUCACACUUUUUUUUAUUGUCAUUUUGGUUUGUCUUUGGAAGUUCAAUCAUUUUAUUCGAUUUUAAUCAAAUUUUCAUAUUAGACAUUGCAAUAUAUAUUCAUAUCCAAUAUGCUUUGUGCUUUGAACUGAUAUGUACGUGUAUUUUCCCCAUUUUUCUCUCUUGAUUGCACCCAUUUCCGCUUUUCCAAAUAUGUUAUACAUAAUAUAUAGAAUUUGUUGUUGUAUAAGGCAGGGUACAUAUUUGUCAAUCUACAAGUUAUGGAUGACUUAUUUAGCAUCAUGUUUCAACAAUUUAUGUAUAUCUAAUAUGACUAAAAGUUGAAUCGCCAUUUAUAAAGUUAGGAUAGCAUGCAUUGAUGUAAUCACAAUGAUCACAUAUUUUACAUAUUUCAAAAGAUAAGCUUUGUAUUUUCAUUUAUGGUUUAACUUACGAAAUAAAUCAUUAUCUGAAUAAAAAAGGAUUAAAUUUUCUUUAA